AUACGUGCUCCGGGGUCGGUGUAAGUCCGAACCGGCGGUGACAGUCCGCGACCCGCGAGCCGGUGCUUCCCCAGGGAGGACACCGGCGGACGGUUGAACCGGUGAAAUUCCGGUACCGACAGUUAAAGUCUGGAUGAGAGAAGCACGUAC
Molecule: non-coding RNA, 150 nt
Filed under: Arthrobacter sp. 9AX
Lineage: Bacteria; Bacillati; Actinomycetota; Actinomycetes; Micrococcales; Micrococcaceae
Description: FMN
Rfam family: FMN riboswitch aptamer (RFN element)
About the family: The RFN element is a highly conserved domain that is found frequently in the 5'-untranslated regions of prokaryotic mRNAs that encode for flavin mononucleotide (FMN) biosynthesis and transport proteins. This element is a metabolite-dependent riboswitch that directly binds FMN in the absence of proteins.
Source: RNAcentral